UCUUACUCGCCAAAAGGUCUGACAGCUCGGUGCCCUCACAACACAUUUAAGGCUUCUAACUCUCCCCCGGAUCAAAUGCGGCCAGGAAGUCGGCGAGAAACACUGGCCACUCAGACGAGCUGCAUCCCCGCUCCCACAUACUUCUCCCGGCUGUCGCUGGAGGGAUCUUUGCAGAGAUAAAUAGCGUUCGAGCAAGGCGCGGUCUCCUUGCUCGGGGAGGCAUUGAACGCACCACGGAAGCUCCAGAAAGCUGACGUUUUUAUGGUUAUGGAUGUGGCCGCGCUGCCGAGGGGAGAGGAGGAGGAGGAUGAGGAGGAGGAAGGCCACCCGAGAGUUGUCUUCACGUCUCGCCGGCAGCAGAAAGGACAGAAAUGAUGCAUUUGGCUCGGCCGUUUUAAGUGAAUGAGAUGAAAAUGAAUAAGAAAAUGUAAAAUAUUUUCGAAUGCAUUCUGCCAUUUUUUAAAUAUAUUUUCAACAUUUUUUUUUUCAUUUUUCCUAAUCAAAUGCACCCUUAUUUUGAACGAAUUUUUGCAUUCUUUUUAAAUAAAUAAAAAAUAUUUUUGUAUUUUAUUUGAACUUUUUUGGAUCGGAUUUUUGCAUUUAAGUAUUUUUACGAAUUUUUGCAUUACAAAAAAAUAUAUAUCUUAUUUGAAUUUUUUGGAUCGGAUUUUUGCAUUGAAGUAUUUAAAAAAAAUCAAAUGCAUUCUGUUGGUCCCCAAAUUAAAACAAAUGUGCCUCGA
Long non-coding RNA from Nerophis lumbriciformis (worm pipefish), 740 nucleotides. RefSeq lists it as uncharacterized. Lineage: Eukaryota; Metazoa; Chordata; Actinopteri; Syngnathiformes; Syngnathidae. The record is from RefSeq and is a predicted model, not a curated record.